Molecule: long non-coding RNA, 1675 nt
Organism: Carassius auratus (goldfish)
Lineage: Eukaryota; Metazoa; Chordata; Actinopteri; Cypriniformes; Cyprinidae
Exons: 5
Source: RefSeq, a predicted model, not a curated record
GCGUUUGCAUACAAAACGCCGUUUUUUACGGCGUUUAAAACGGUAUUAGCGCCGUCAAAUACGCCGUCCUUAUAGCAGACGCCGUAAAAAACGCGCGUAAACCGUAAAAAACGCCGCAAAAAACGGCGUUUUAGUGUUUGUAAAAAGCGCCGCUUUUAACGCCGUCGGCUUGCCACAGGACGCCGUAAAAAACGCCGUUCUGAAUGCACAAAAGCGCGCGUUAUUUACAGCGUUUUCCUUGUAGUAUAAUGAGCCACGCCCGCUGAUUUCCACAGCCAGUAAUAAUGAACUGUUCUCACCCAAUCAAUGAUGACCUGACUCAGACCAGACUAGUUUACAUCCGAGUUCGAUUGUUAUUUUAAUCACUCGAUUGGUUGGUUGGUUGAUAUGAAGAUGGCCAGGAGAAUCUUUAUUUUGCGUUGUCAGCAGAAGCUGAACAAUUGCACUCGACAGCUGACAGAAGAUUCUGGUGUACUACAAUCAACUUUAGUGAGGCUAGAAACAAUGUAGAGAAGCAUUGAAUGGGCGAGAGGAAGGCUGAUCACUGCACCAGAAGCAGACGAGUUACUCCAAGAUCUCAAUGAAUAUAUAGCAGAGGUACAAAAGCAUAGGCAGCAUGGACAACAAGCCAGUUCCAGUUAUCAGGCUCCACUCUGAUCGAGGUGCACCCCAUUACAGCAUCACCAGAGAGCAACUUUCCUUUCUGAGGACAUGUGGUUUUAGUCUUCCUUCAAUAGCAGAGAUUCUGCAAGUGUCUCUGGCUACCGUCAAACGCCGCAUGGAAGAGAUUCCAUUUGAAUCGCUCUCUGACUUAAUCUGAAAUAACCGAUGUAGAUCACAGACAUUGUGGAUGGAAAUGACCAGCUGGGAUCGGAGGCUGUCAGGGCACAGUUACGGGCAGGUGGAAAUCGUGUACAAAGACACAGAGUACGCAGGGGCUUGGUUCAAAUUAACCCAAUUGCAGCAGCACUACGGGACAUGUCACAAAGACCACACAGAAGGUUGUACAGUGUUGCUGGUCCAAACUCCCUGUGGCACCUAGAUGGCAACCACAAAUUGAUAAGAUGGAGAAUUGUCAUUCAUGGUGUUAUAGAUGGCUACAGUCAUCUCAUAGUCUUUUUGCAUGCCUCAAACAUCAUCCACAGCAGCACUGUAAUGCCUUCUAGGGUCAGAACAGACCAUGGAGGAGAAAACCAUGAUGUCUGUGUGAUGUUGAACAUUUUCAGGGGCUCAGAGAGAAGAGGCAGGAGCGUUCACAACUAAAGAAUUGAGAGGCUCUGGGGUGACAUGUGGCGGGGAUUGACUAACGUAUAUUACAAUCUCUUUCACUUCCUGGAGGCUGAAGGUAUCUCUGACAUAGACAAAGAAAUGCACAUAUGGGGCUCUUCACUUUUUCUAUGUGCCGAGGAUCAACAGGUGUUUAUCAGCCUUUACUCAACAGUGGAACAACCAUGGGCUGAGAACAGAACAACACCAGACACCCAUGCAGAUAUUUGUUCGAGGCUGCCUGGAACAACAAGGACAGCGAACCACUGCAAUGAAAGAGAUCUUUGGCAGAACAGCUGGACCAGCAGAUGAACCUGUUCUUCAGGCACCGGCAGCAGAAUCAAGCUUGCAGGAGGCACCAGUGUUUGACUGGCCAGAGGGAGUAGCUGUUCCUCAAAGUGACUUCACA